UUUGAUCCUGGCUCAGAUUGAACGCUGGCGGCAGGCCUAACACAUGCAAGUCGAGCGGAUGAGAGGAGCUUGCUCCUUGAUUUAGCGGCGGACGGGUGAGUAAUGCCUAGGAAUCUGCCUGGUAGUGGGGGAUAACGUUCCGAAAGGAACGCUAAUACCGCAUACGUCCUACGGGAGAAAGCAGGGGACCUUCGGGCCUUGCGCUAUCAGAUGAGCCUAUGUCGGAUUAGCUAGUUGGUGAGGUAAUGGCUCACCAAGGCGACGAUCCGUAACUGGUCUGAGAGGAUGAUCAGUCACACUGGAACUGAGACACAGUCCAGACUCCUACGGGAGGCAGCAGUGGGGAAUAUCGGACAAUGGGCGAAAGCCUGAUCCAGCCAUGCCGCGUGUGUGAAGAAGGUCUUCGGAUUGUAAAGCACUUUAAGUUGGGAGGAAGGGCAUUAACCUAAUACGUUAGUGUUUUGACGUUACCGACAGAAUAAGCACCGGCUA
RNAcentral lists this ribosomal RNA (492 nucleotides) under uncultured bacterium. Its description in RNAcentral is "bacterial SSU rRNA". It matches the Rfam family "Bacterial small subunit ribosomal RNA", at positions 12 to 499 of the family's 1533-position model. The record is from RNAcentral.